GGACCACGCCUUUCAGGCAUCCUCUCCUAAAAACUUUCAUGGCCGAUCCCUUUCGGGGUCGGCCUUUUUUCUUGCGUGU
Molecule: small RNA, 79 nt
Filed under: Sphingomonas jeddahensis
Lineage: Bacteria; Pseudomonadati; Pseudomonadota; Alphaproteobacteria; Sphingomonadales; Sphingomonadaceae
Description: Makes More Granules Regulator RNA (mmgR)
Rfam family: Makes More Granules Regulator RNA (mmgR)
About the family: SuhB later renamed mmgR (makes more granules regulator) was a putative non-coding RNA found multiple times in the Agrobacterium tumefaciens genome and related alpha-proteobacteria. Other non-coding RNAs uncovered in the same analysis include: speF, ybhL, metA, and serC.
Source: Rfam by way of RNAcentral